This 101-nucleotide small nuclear RNA is filed under the name Catagonus wagneri (Chacoan peccary). The record is from RNAcentral. Lineage: Eukaryota; Metazoa; Chordata; Mammalia; Artiodactyla; Tayassuidae.
UUGCUUAGGCAGCACACGUACUAAAACUGGAACAACACAGAGCAUGGCCCCUGUUCAAGGAUGACAUGCAAAUACAAAUUCAUGAAGCCUCCCCCUUUUUU